ACGAACGCUGGCGGCGUGCUUAACACAUGCAAGUCGAACGGAAAGGCCCUGCUUUUGUGGGGAGCUCGAGUGGCGAACGGGUGAGUAACACGUGAGUAACCUGCCCUUGACUUUGGGAUAACUUCAGGAAACUGGGGCUAAUACCGGAUAGGAGCUCCUGCUGCAUGGUGGGGGUUGGAAAGUUUCGGCGGUUGGGGAUGGACUCGCGGCUUAUCAGCUUGUUGGUGGGGUAGUGGCUUACCAAGGCUUUGACGGGUAGCCGGCCUGAGAGGGUGACCGGCCUCAUUGGGACUGAGAUACGGCCCAGACUCCUACGGGAGGCAGCAGUGGGGAAUAUUGCACAAUGGGCGGAAGCCUGAUGCAGCAACGCCGCGUGCGGGAUGACGGCCUUCGGGUUGUAAACCGCUUUCGCCUGUGACGAAGCGUGAGUGACGGUAAUGGGUAAAGAAGCACCGGCUAACUACGUG
This 467-nucleotide ribosomal RNA is filed under the name uncultured bacterium. RNAcentral describes it as "partial 16S ribosomal RNA". It matches the Rfam family "Bacterial small subunit ribosomal RNA", at positions 29 to 507 of the family's 1533-position model. The record is from RNAcentral.